GAAAUGCGAUAAGUAAUGUGAAUUGCAGAAUUCAGUGAAUCAUCGAAUCUUUGAACGCACCUUGCGCUCCUUGGUAUUCCUUGGAGCAUGCCUGUUUGAGUAUCAUGAAAUCUUCAAAGUAAAUCUUUUGUUAACUUAAUUGGUUUCUACUUUGGUAUUGGAGGUCUUUGCAGCUUCACACCUGCUCCUCUUUGUUCAUUAGCUGGAUCUCAGUGUUAUGCUUGGUUCCACUCGGCGUGAUAAGUUAUCUAUCGCUGAGGACACUGUAAAAGGUGGCCAAGGUAAAUGCAGAUGAACCGCUUCUAGUAGUCCAUUGACUUGGACAAUACUUUUAUGAUCUGAUCUCAAAUCAGGUAGGACUACCCGCUGAACUUAAGC
RNAcentral lists this unclassified non-coding RNA (378 nucleotides) under plant metagenome. RNAcentral describes it as "partial contains 5.8S ribosomal RNA, internal transcribed spacer 2, and large subunit ribosomal RNA". The stretch from base 1 to 105 matches the Rfam family "5.8S ribosomal RNA", at positions 50 to 154 of the family's 154-position model. The record is from RNAcentral.